This is a long non-coding RNA of Vespula vulgaris, 996 nucleotides long. RefSeq lists it as uncharacterized. The transcript has 2 exons. The record is from RefSeq and is a predicted model, not a curated record. Lineage: Eukaryota; Metazoa; Arthropoda; Insecta; Hymenoptera; Vespidae.
GAAGAAAUGACUACUCUCUUACUACUGCUAUUCAAUUGUUUGAUCACGGUUAUUGGGUUCCCUACAAGCGAAUAUAGGAUGUCACAUUACCUUCCUCUGCAACUUAAUAUUACAUCAUUUGUAUCACGUGACAUAAGUUAUGCUUAUAUGUCAUCGCGUCUCUAACCUAACUUAACCCUAAAGACUACUAUUACUACUUUUCUUCGCAUUACAACACAAUUUUUUCUCUUUUUCCUCUAUGACAACGAAGUAUAAACAUAACUCAUGUCACGUGAUCCAAGUGAAGUAUAAGUGGUAAUGAAGCUAAUGUGACGUUAUCUAUUCCCUUGUAAGGAAUUCUCCCAGCAACCAUGGUGUAGUUCAAGUAUUCUUAGGUAGAUGCGUAGAUGGUUGAUACUAAUAUAACAAUAUACAUACAAAUGCUGAAAAGUUUGGUAUGGAACGAAUUCUUGAUAGGAGAAAAAAGAAACAAAAGAAAGAGUAACAUAUUGGCUCCAGGAUCGAAUUUUGCAUAUUUCUGUUCUAUGAAUUCUUUAUUCUUUUAAUUAUUAUAAUUUUAAUAAAAAUUAGAAAUAUAAUGUAUGUUAGAACGCGUGAUGAUUCCUCAGAUAAAUUUGGAUUCAUCAGGUUGAAAUAAAAAAUAAAAUUAUAAUUUUAAUGUAAAUUUUAUUUUCUACAAUUUUUUUCGAUGUGUAUUUAAAAGAAAAUGAAAUCUCAUAGUAAAAUAUACGAUUUUAAUAAUCUAUAUGCUUUUAAUCGUCGUUGCUAUGCGACUUCAUGAAUCGGUGAUGCUAAAUAGUAACAAUGAUGAUAAUUAUAACGAUGGAAAAUGUAUGUGACAAUGGUAAAAUAAUAAUAAUAAUAAUAAUAAUAAUAAUAAUAAUAAUAAUACCAUAACAUAAUAUAUAAUAUAAAAUGGUGUAACACGUUAAUAUUUGCGAUGACAAACGGCACGCCGCUACUACGCUAGGACUACACUCAGGGAAAGAAAAAUAU